Molecule: ribosomal RNA, 253 nt
Filed under: uncultured bacterium
Lineage: Bacteria
Description: partial 16S ribosomal RNA
Rfam family: Bacterial small subunit ribosomal RNA
Source: RNAcentral
UACGGGGGGAGCAAGCGUUGUUCGGAUUUACUGGGCGUAAAGGGCGCGUAGGCGGCGUAACAAGUCACUUGUGAAAUCUCCGGGCUUAACUCGGAGCGGCCAAGUGAUACUGUUGUGCUAGAGUACGGAAGAGGCGAGUGGAAUUCCUGGUGUAGCGGUGGAAUGCGCAGAUAUCAGGAGGAACACCAAUAGCGAAGGCAGCUCGCUGGGACGUUACUGACACUAAGGCGCGAAAGCGUGGGGAGCGAACAGG